RNAcentral lists this ribosomal RNA (253 nucleotides) under uncultured bacterium. RNAcentral's name for it is "partial 16S ribosomal RNA". It matches the Rfam family "Bacterial small subunit ribosomal RNA", at positions 524 to 776 of the family's 1533-position model. The record is from RNAcentral.
UACGAAGGUCCCAAGCGUUAUCCGGAUUUAUUGGGUUUAAAGGGUGCGUAGGCGGCUUAUUAAGUCAGUGGUGAAAGCCCCAAGCUUAACUUGGGAACUGCCAUUGAUACUGAUGAGCUUGAGUAGAUUUGAGGCGGGCGGAAUGUGUCGUGUAGCGGUGAAAUGCGCAGAUAUCGGGAGGAACACCAAUGGCGAAGGCAGCUCGCUGGGACGGUACUGACGCUGAGACGCGAAAGCGUGGGGAGCAAACAGG